This is a long non-coding RNA of Trichogramma pretiosum, 1177 nucleotides long. RefSeq lists it as uncharacterized. NCBI's taxonomy places the organism in Eukaryota, Metazoa, Arthropoda, Insecta, Hymenoptera, Trichogrammatidae. The transcript is spliced from 3 exons. The record is from RefSeq and is a predicted model, not a curated record.
CGAGCACGGUGCACGGUAGUAGGCGCCGAGUUGCGAGAGCGAGUGCAGCAGCAGCAGUAGCAACCUUAGUGGUUCGUGCUCUCCGAGUUUUACGUCGCACGUGCUUAUCCUCGACUUUAGCCGACGCGACGGCUACACGUGCAGUGAGUGCGCGAUCUCUCUCGUUCUCUCGCUCUCCGUAGUGUUUCUCUCUACACGAAUUCUUCAGGCUUUUUUUCGUUGCCAAGUUCUCUCUUUCUUUCUUUUUCGUUUCGUUUGUUGGUUUUAUUUGGUGUCAAAAGUGCGUCGAUCUACGUCGUUCGCUCGCGUCGAGCAGCUGCGAGCAGCAUCGGUGCAGCGCAGCGUCACUGCACGUCUGAUCGGACACGGAUCCAUACUACUUGCAAAAUCAAGAUCGCGCGAAAAAACAAUUUCUGAUGGAAGUGGUGCUGCCGUCGCCGCCGUCGUAGCAAGAAAAACAGAGGAGACGUUAUCAACAGCCUGCAGCGUACAGAGUCGGAGGCAGCAGUAGCAGUAGCACAUCGCAAUCAUAAAGAAGAAGAAGAAGAAGAAGAAGGAGAGAGCCAAAGAGCGAAAGCUGAGCGCAAUGGGAUGAUAAAGGCCAGCAGCAAUAGCGGCCGCAGUAGCUUCCAAAGCAACGCCAGUAUCAAGCGGUAUCAGCGGAAUCAGCAUCAGAAACAACGACGCCAGCAGCAGCAGCAGCAGCAGCAGCAGCGGCAGUAGCAGCGGCGGCGCCUGCUUCAGUGUUAUUCGCGUCAGUGCUCCGUGACGACUAGUGUGAUAGUGCGGGGGUGUGAGUGCGCGCGUGAAAUACAAGUGUUUUUCUUUUCUUCGAAUUUCAACAUCGCGUGUGCGUAACAAAAUUAUACCGGUGCCGAUCAGUGUGUGUGUGUGCGGAGUUCGGUAUUUUGCGUAAUAAAUAAAAAAAAAUCUUAGGCCGAGUCGGGCUUUGAUCGUUUUCGCGGCUGGGCUAUGCCGCACAGGCCGGAACGGGCCCCGCUCGACUGGCCGCGGUGGCGCUCGGCUGGACCGAAUGCUCAGCGCUGGCAGCUCUGCGGUGGGCCUGCCAAGUUGGUCCGGCUAGUGUCUCCAGGUCCGUCAUCGGCUGCAGCGGCAGCAGCGCAACAACAACAACAACAAAAUCAACAGCAUCAACAACAACAACAACAGCAUCAGC